Molecule: non-coding RNA, 389 nt
Organism: Callorhinchus milii (elephant shark)
Lineage: Eukaryota; Metazoa; Chordata; Chondrichthyes; Chimaeriformes; Callorhinchidae
Source: the annotation of a RefSeq genome assembly
CGACAAUGCGGCUGUUCAUCGAAUACCUUCUCAUAUUGAGGUUUAUGUCAGAUGUGGUGGUGGGAGACUCAGUCAGACACCAGACAGCGGGGCUGAGCAAACAAGAGGGAGACACAGUGAGUCUCAGCUGCUCAUAUACCACCAGCUCGUCCUAUGCUGUUCUGUACUGGUACAGACAUCACCCAGGUCUGGCUCCACAAUACAUUCUCUAUAGGGAUACUAAUGGAAAUGACAACACAGCAGAUUUCGCCAAAGGCCGUUUCACUUCACAGCUUGACACGAAUCAGAGAAAAACCACAUUAAGCAUAUCCAGUGUCAUUGUCACUGACGCUGCCACAUAUUAUUGUGGCUUAACAACAAGCACAGUGCUGCAAGUCAAUGACUUCCCU